Molecule: ribosomal RNA, 490 nt
Filed under: uncultured bacterium
Lineage: Bacteria
Description: partial 16S ribosomal RNA
Rfam family: Bacterial small subunit ribosomal RNA
Source: RNAcentral
AUUGAACGCUGGCGGCAGGCCUAACACAUGCAAGUCGAACGAUAACAGGAAGAAGCUUGCUUCUUUGCUGACGAGUGGCGGACGGGUGUGAAAUGUCUGGGAAACUGCCUGAUGGAGGGGGAAAACUACUGGAAACGGUAGCUAAUACCGCAUAACGUCGCAAGACCAAAGAGGGGGACCUUAGGGCCUCUUGCCAUCGGAUGUGCCCAGAUGGGAUUAGCUAGUAGGUGGGGUAACGGCUCACCGAGGCGACGAUCCCUAGCUGGUCUGAGAGGGUGACCAGCCACACUGGAACUGAGACACGGUCCAGACUCCUACGGGAGGCAGCAGUAGGGAAUAUUGCACAAUGGGCGCAAGCCUGAUGCAGCCAUGCCGCGUGUAUGAAGAAGGCCUUCGGGUUGUAAAGUACUUUCAGCGGGGAGGAAGAGAGGAAUGUUAAUACCUGCGCUCAUUGACGUUACCCGCAGAAGAAGCACCGGCUAACUCCGUG